RNAcentral lists this ribosomal RNA (468 nucleotides) under uncultured bacterium. Its description in RNAcentral is "partial 16S ribosomal RNA". It matches the Rfam family "Bacterial small subunit ribosomal RNA", at positions 29 to 507 of the family's 1533-position model. The record is from RNAcentral.
ACGCACGCUGGCGGCGUGCUUAACACCUGCAAGUCGAACGGAAAGGCCCUGCUUUUGUGGGGUGCUCGAGUGGCGAACGGGUGAGUAACACGUGAGUAACCUGCCCUUGACUUUGGGAUAACUUCAGGAAACUGGGGCUAAUACCGGAUAGGAGCUCCUGCUGCAUGGUGGUGGGUUGGAAAGUUUCGGCGGUUGGGGAUGGACUCGCGGCUUAUCAGCUUGUUGGUGGGGUAGUGGCUUACCAAGGCUUUGACGGGUAGCCGGCCUGAGAGGGUGACCGGCCACAUUGGGACUGAGAUACGGCCCAGACUCCUACGGGAGGCAGCAGUGGGGAAUAUUGCACAAUGGGCGGAAGCCUGAUGCAGCAACGCCGCGUGCGGGAUGACGGCCUUCGGGUUGUAAACCGCUUUCGCCUGUGACGAAGCGUGAGUGACGGUAAUGGGUAAAGAAGCACCGGCUAACUACGUG